CAUGUCCUUAGGUUUUUUAGUGCCUUGAAGUGUAUUAUUUAUUCUCUUAUAAGAAAUAAUUUGUAAUAAUAAUGAGUUAAAAAACGUGUUUUUAUAAAUAAACGUUCUCGUGACUGACACUAAUUUGAUAACAGGUGGCAUUAUCGAUGCGCUGACAGAUUCGUGUUUAGCCACACGUAGAAUCACGUGUUAGUUGUUUUCAUAUUCUCUGCUCUAUCCUUAGAGGAAAAAAUGUUGAUUCUUUUAAUUCGGGUUAUUUUUACAAUUUUUAUUUUAAUAACUUCUCAACCGGGAUCGAGUUUAUUUUCGUGGCAUCCCACUUGCAUGAUUCUUGCUGCCUACUGAAAAUUGCAAGAGAUGAAAAAUCUUAUUAUUUUAAUGAACAUGUUCGUUGUCCGCAGAAAAAUAUUUAUAAUGCAAUAACGAUUUCGAAGCAUUCCAAUUUAAAACAUUAUGGAAUUAUUUAUCGUCAAUUAGGAUUCAAAACAUUACAUUCACCAAUUGUAGCAGUAAUUGAUAUAUGUUGAAUCUGAUUGAUGUUAUACGGGAGAAUUAAUCCCCUGCGGAGUGGCGAAAGCCGCCACCCGCAUCCGCAAUAAUUGUCUAUAAUGUAUACUGUAUAUUGAACUUGCCCUGGGGCUGUCCGGAUAUCCGACGGCAGCCCCGGAACAUUCUGUGGUGGAAAUAAGAUCGGUUCGGGUCACUAGAAAGGUCUGUCCUAGACGGUCAACCCGACACCAUCCCUCGACUUUGACCGGGAGAUGCUGAUGGAACUGUGAAACCUGCGCUCGUAUUUUAGCCCGUUAUUUCCUUUCUCUUGACAUUUUAGAAUGUUAACGAUCGAACGCGAUGUUUUCUGUUUAUCAAACCUCUUUUUCCCGAUUCAGUUUAACUUCGAUCAAUUCUAUACGAACGUUAGUGUCAAAGUUCGAACUCUCCGGCUCGACACUGAUGUAUUGUUUAACACGUGUCUGAGUCGCACUAGGGACUCGCUUGUUUACUUUCUUGUCGCGUUAUUUUCAUUACGAUUUCUUCAGUUCAAUCUUUUGACAUUUUUAUAAAAUUAAUAACGAAUUCAGACUUGGUCUGGAACCUCACAAUAAAAAAAAAUCUUUUACAUCCAGAAGACCGACAACAGAUUGAUUUUACUACAGAAAAAAUUCGUGGAUUACAAUUUACCAGUAAUUUACAUAAUUAUUUAAUUAAUAUUAAGGAAAGGAAUUCAAGUUAUUAAGAGAAACAUUUUGUAUAAUAACAACGGUUUAUUUAUAGGAAAAAGCUACUUCCUCUUAUUAUUUAAAAGUAAAUAUAAUAAAAUGUUCAUAAAUUAAAUUUUCGUACUUUUCAUAUUAGCAAGAUAUUAAUUAAAUAUUUUAAAAAUAUAUCAAGAAGUCAUAAUUUUUAAUUUAAAAAAAGAAAAAGUUUGCAUCAAUCUUCAGACGAUUUUCAUCGAUCAUUCACAAAAGGAAUUGUCUCCACCGUAUGUCGAACGGUAUUAUACGCGGGAUUUGAAUGGUAUAAUUUAUUAUUGGAGUUUAGACUUUAGAGAGAGGGAAAAAAGAUAAGAGAAAAGAGAUAAAAAAAAAAAAAUAAAGAGAGAACGCGCCCAAUAAAUUCAUAAAUUUCAAAAUCUCCGUGGUUCCCAAAGUGGGCGCUACCACCCCCUGUGGGCAGUAAGUAAAUCUAGGAGGCGAGAGUUGCAUAAUAAAACCUUUCCCUUUCCUUUGUUAAAACAGGUACGAAGAAACAUUGUGUUUAAUGGUGUCCAGAUGUGUAGAACAAUGUACGGAAGUGUGAGGUUCAUAGAAAGUUUUUCUAAGAAUAUUUUCAAGCCUUUCUCACAAGGAAAAAUGAGUUAGGGGCGUUGGGUUUAUGGAACCAAGGGGGGUGUUGGCUCGAAAAUGUUUGGGAAUCACUGCAAUAUCUACUGUCAGUAAUCAGAGUAAACAAACGUCUUGAACAAGAACACCCACAUGUGGUCAAGCGGAAGGAAAUUGUGAGGCUCUAGACAGGUCCGAACCCUCACUAAAAUUUGCGGAAAAAAUUGUUUUAAAGAAAAUAAUAUAGUAGUUAGAAA
Centruroides sculpturatus (bark scorpion) is the source of this 2077-nucleotide long non-coding RNA. RefSeq lists it as uncharacterized. The record is from RefSeq and is a predicted model, not a curated record. Lineage: Eukaryota; Metazoa; Arthropoda; Arachnida; Scorpiones; Buthidae. The transcript has 4 exons.